GAAAUGCGAUAAGUAAUGUGAAUUGCAGAAUUCCGUGAAUCAUCGAAUCUUUGAACGCACAUUGCGCCCGCUAGUAUUCUGGCGGGCAUGCCUGUUCGAGCGUCAUUUCAACCAUCAAGCCCCCGGCUUGUGUUGGGGACCUGCGGCUGCCGCAGGCCCUGAAAUCCAGUGGCGGGCUCGCCGUAGCACCGAGCGUAGUAGCAUACUUCUCGCUCCGGUAGCAGCGGUGGGCGCCUGCCGUAAAACCCCCCUUAAAAUCAAGGUUGACCUCGGAUCAGGUAGGAAUACCCGCUGAACUUAA
RNAcentral lists this unclassified non-coding RNA (301 nucleotides) under uncultured Lasiosphaeriaceae. RNAcentral describes it as "sequence contains ITS1". The stretch from base 1 to 105 matches the Rfam family "5.8S ribosomal RNA", at positions 50 to 154 of the family's 154-position model. Lineage: Eukaryota; Fungi; Ascomycota; Sordariomycetes; Sordariales; Lasiosphaeriaceae. The record is from RNAcentral.